Molecule: RNA transcript, 3022 nt
Organism: Amblyraja radiata (thorny skate)
Lineage: Eukaryota; Metazoa; Chordata; Chondrichthyes; Rajiformes; Rajidae
Gene name: polyadenylate-binding protein 4
Exons: 16
Source: RefSeq, a predicted model, not a curated record
UGCCUCCGUCUCCUGGCCACAGACUCUGAUAAACGUGGGUGUGCAAAAGCUGGAGCAGCGCACACUCAUACUCCAAAAACCGCAAAAAAAUUAAAAACCAACAAUUAAAAAAAAAAAAAACUGCAACUAAGUUUCAGAAGUGGAUUAAAUUUUUAAAAAAACAGUGAAUUUAUAUUUAAAAGAAACGGAACCAGGCCCCAGCCACGCUCUUGAGAUUUGAACCGGACAAACCUUCCGAAGUUUCUGGAAACAAGUAUUCGAAACGGUUUAAAGAAAGAAACGAGACUGCGAUUUUGUUGACGGCCGGAGGAGCCCAGCUUGAGUCGACCACUCUCUGUCAGACCGUCCCCCACCCCCUCAGGCCCCGGUGUGUUGUGUCACUCGCUCACACCUCCACCCUCUGAAAGUUGUCGCCUCUCAGGAUGAACCAGACCGCUGCCAGCUACCCCAUGGCCUCGCUCUACGUCGGCGACCUGCAUCCAGAUGUGACCGAGGCGAUGCUAUACGAGAAGUUCAGCCCGGCCGGGCCAGUGCUCUCCAUCAGAGUGUGCAGGGACAUGAUCACCAGGAGGUCGCUGGGCUACGCCUAUGUCAACUUCCAGCAGGCCGCAGACGCUGAGCGUGCCUUGGAUACCAUGAACUUUGAUGUCAUCAAGGGAAGACCAAUCCGCAUCAUGUGGUCACAGCGUGACCCAUCGCUAAGAAAGUCGGGAGUUGGUAAUGUAUUCAUCAAAAAUCUGGACAAGUCCAUUGACAACAAGGCUCUGUAUGACACUUUCUCUGCAUUUGGAAACAUCUUGUCGUGUAAGGUGGUUUGUGAUGAAAAUGGCUCCAAAGGAUAUGCUUUUGUGCACUUUGAAACUCAGGAUGCUGCUGAUAGAGCAAUUGAGAAAAUGAAUGGCAUGUUGCUAAAUGACAGGAAAGUAUUUGUUGGUCGUUUUAAAUCUCGUAAGGAGAGAGAGGCUGAACUUGGAGCAAAGGCAAAAGAGUUCACCAAUGUUUACAUAAAGAACUUUGGAGAUGAUAUGGAUGAUGAACGACUCAAAGAAAUGUUUGAUAAAUUUGGCAAAACUCUCAGUGUUAAAGUCAUGACAGAUCCAAAUGGAAAAUGCAAGGGCUUUGGCUUUGUUAGCUAUGAAAAACAUGAAGAUGCCUUCAAGGCUGUGGAAGAAAUGAAUGGGAAGGAACUAAAUGGAAAAAUGCUCUUUGUUGGUCGUGCCCAAAAAAAGGUGGAACGGCAGGCUGAACUGAAAAGAAAGUUUGAACAGUUAAAACAGGAACGGAUCAGUAGAUAUCAGGGUGUGAAUCUAUACAUCAAGAACCUAGAUGACACCAUUGAUGAUGAAAAACUGAGAAAAGAGUUUGCUCCAUUUGGUUCAAUCACCAGUGCCAAGGUAAUGCUGGAGGAUGGUCGAAGCAAAGGUUUUGGCUUUGUUUGCUUCUCCUCUCCUGAGGAAGCGACGAAAGCUGUAACAGAAAUGAAUGGGCGUAUUGUUGGUUCCAAGCCAUUAUAUGUAGCCCUUGCUCAAAGGAAAGAGGAACGCAAGGCUCAUUUAACUAAUCAGUAUAUGCAACGAAUUGCAGGGAUGCGUGCCAUGCCAGCCAAUACAAUCAUCAACCAAUUUCAGCCAGCUGCUGGAGGCUAUUUUAUGCCAGCUGUGCCUCAGGUACAAAACAGAGCUGCCUAUUAUGCACCAAAUCAGAUGGCCCAGAUGAGACCCAGUACCCGUUGGCAACAGCAGCAAACCAGACCCCAAGGGUUCCAAGCCGUGCCAAAUGCCCUUCGUCAGGGAGGUCCUAGGCCUCUUCGUCACCUAGCCCCAACAGGAAAUGCUCAGGGUUCUCGAGGUGUUCCUAAUGCACAACGAAUGGGAUUAUCUACAGCUCAGAAUCUGGCGCAUCGCCCUGGGAUUGCUGGCCCAACACCACGGGGUGUUCCACCGUAUAAAUAUGCCUCCACAGUCCGGAACCCACAGCAAUCAGUCGUGCAAACUCAAAUGGGCGUACAGCAGGCCUCUCAGUCUGCAGUGCUCGUACAAGGACAGGAACCACUGAUUGCCUCCAUGCUAGCAGCAGCUCCUCCUCAGGAACAGAAACAGAUGCUAGGUGAACGUUUCUUCCCGUUGAUCCAGAGUAUGCACCCUUCCCUAGCUGGAAAAAUCACUGGAAUGCUUCUUGAGAUAGACAAUUCUGAGUUGCUACAUAUGUUGGAAUCUCCAGAAUCACUCCGGUCAAAGACAUCUUGAGGGUAAAUAAUAUGGAAAACGCUUGAAAAGAAAACUGCUAGACAGCAAAAUGAAACUACUGCAUUUAAAAAAAGCAGCAUUAUCUGCGCAUGCGUCAAGAAAUGUUGAAGAAGCUGUGGCCGUGCUGCAAGCUCACCAGGCCAAGAAAGAGGCUGCCCAGAAGGCAGCUGCGGUUGUAGCUACGGCCUGAAACAGGAAUUAGAUUUGCAACGAUUGCCAAGAACCGACGACUCCACACAUUUGAUUCAGAUAUAUUCAGGCGUGCAUCGUGCUUAGCUUUGAGGGGGAAAAUAAACAAACAAAAAAGCAAAAUUUCAAAUAACCAGUUUCUGAAAGAUUUUAAUGUACUUUAAGUAUUGAAAAGAAAUAUAUUUUGAUAGAUCAAACUAUAACAUUACAAAGCAGAGCAUCACUCUGCUUUGUUUUGAGCAUGGAUAUCUGUGGCCAGGAUAGAUUUAUUCAUGAAACCAAAUACAGUGAUGCUGAACAUGUGAAAACAACAGAAAAUGAUGGAAAUAUUUAGCAGGUUAUGCAGCAUCUGUGGAGAAAGAAAUAGUUAGAGUUUUGGGUCGAUGCCCUAUAAUUUGAAAUUAUUUAUUUUUUAUUUUCAAAAGGAUACGAAAGGUUGUAGGUAUGAUAAUGGAGCUAGAUUUUAACUUUGCAGUUAGGGUUUAUGAUUUGGGUGUGUUUUCAUUUCUAAAACUGAAGUUUGCCCAAAUCUGGAAGUGUUUCUGAUUGGGGAAAGAACAAAAUAAAAAUAAUUUGUCUAAAAUGUA